RNAcentral lists this long non-coding RNA (826 nucleotides) under Monodelphis domestica (gray short-tailed opossum). RNAcentral's name for it is "lncRNA (ENSMODG00000036962.1)". Lineage: Eukaryota; Metazoa; Chordata; Mammalia; Didelphimorphia; Didelphidae. The record is from RNAcentral.
GAACUCUUCUUUUUUGGCAUUUAAAACUUUUAAUAAUCUAGCGCCUUCCUAUGUUUCUGGUCUUCUUACCCAUUACUCCCCUCCACACAUACGCCAGACCAGCCUUACUGGCCCUCUUGCUUUUCCUCUGUUAGUGUAGAAAUGACAGAGAAAGAAAUAGGUUUAAGGAUAAGUGAAAAGGUUGGUUUUACCGAGGUUGGUCUGGCCAUAUGCUAGGAACUCUGUGACAGGAGAUUCUAGAGUCUGGAGAGAAGAUUUGAAGGGGUACUAAUCAACGGAAAGGGCUUCCGGUUUCUUGGAGUUGAGAGGAAGUAGCCAGGCUCUGCUGAUCCUGGAGAUACCAAAUCUAACAGUGAGGUUGAAGGGAAACCUUUGGACUUUCUUGGAAGCACCUUUCUUCACAAGAAGAGAGACAUCUAAGAAGAUCUUGUAUAAUAUCAAACAUGAUUAAGACCUCAAUAUCAACCUUAUUGAAGAUAAAGACAUCUUGAAGUCUCAUCUAACUGAAGAUGAGUUGACUGAGUCAGGAUGCAGGAUAAUUGAAGAAGAGCUGGAUUUGAAGUCAGAAGACCCAAGUUUGAAAUAUGGCUCUGCCAACUGUACUACCUAGAUGACCUUUGGAAUUCAUAAAAAUUUGGUCUUCUACUCAGAGAAGGAAACAAAGAUGAAAUGUUUAGUGAUCAGUGAGGUGUCAGAUAGGCAUCCUGAAAAAUGGCAACUUUUACAAUAUCCUCCGACAAGCAUAUUGUGAGACUUCUUACUUUGCAAAUGACCUCUCUGGGUAAUGUGUGUUUAUAUCCAAAAUAAAGUUCUUUGCCAAAAUACA